CAACCUCAACAAUGUCAACAUUCAUUUGUAAUCAAGGUAGUGCACUCUGCCAUACUCAUACAAAGACAAGACGUAUGUGUAAUGUUUCUAAUCAAGUUGACUGUAGAGGAACAAGUUCAGUUGAAUGUAAUGACUCUCCAAGUGCUACA
Amphimedon queenslandica is the source of this 149-nucleotide long non-coding RNA. RefSeq lists it as uncharacterized. The transcript has 3 exons. The record is from RefSeq and is a predicted model, not a curated record. Lineage: Eukaryota; Metazoa; Porifera; Demospongiae; Haplosclerida; Niphatidae.